UACGGAGGGGGCGAGCGUUGUCCGAAUUUAUUGGGCGUAAAGCGCGUGUAGGCGGACCUAUAAGCCUGGGGUGAAAGGUUGGGGCUCAACCCCAUACAGUGCCCUGGGGACUGUGGGUCUGGAGGCAGGCAGAGGAGUGUGGAAUUCCUGGUGUAGCGGUGGAAUGCGUAGAGAUCAGGAAGAACACCCAUGGCGAAGGCAGCACUCUGGGCCUGUACUGACGCUGAGACGCGAAAGCGCGGGGAGCGAACGGG
This 254-nucleotide ribosomal RNA is filed under the name uncultured bacterium. RNAcentral's name for it is "partial 16S ribosomal RNA". It matches the Rfam family "Bacterial small subunit ribosomal RNA", at positions 524 to 776 of the family's 1533-position model. The record is from RNAcentral.